Molecule: ribosomal RNA, 1480 nt
Filed under: Escherichia coli
Lineage: Bacteria; Pseudomonadati; Pseudomonadota; Gammaproteobacteria; Enterobacterales; Enterobacteriaceae
Description: partial 23S ribosomal RNA
Rfam family: Bacterial large subunit ribosomal RNA
Source: RNAcentral
GGGUUGUGAGGUUAAGCGACUAAGCGUACACGGUGGAUGCCCUGGCAGUCAGAGGCGAUGAAGGACGUGCUAAUCUGCGAUAAGCGUCGGUAAGGUGAUAUGAACCGUUAUAACCGGCGAUUUCCGAAUGGGGAAACCCAGUGUGUUUCGACACACUAUCAUUAACUGAAUCCAUAGGUUAAUGAGGCGAACCGGGGGAACUGAAACAUCUAAGUACCCCGAGGAAAAGAAAUCAACCGAGAUUCCCCCAGUAGCGGCGAGCGAACGGGGAGGAGCCCAGAGUCUGAAUCAGUGUGUGUGUUAGUGGAAGCGUCUGGAAAGGCGCGCGAUACAGGGUGACAGCCCCGUACACAAAAAUGCACAUACUGUGAGCUCGAUGAGUAGGGCGGGACACGUGGUAUCCUGUCUGAAUAUGGGGGGACCAUCCUCCAAGGCUAAAUACUCCUGACUGACCGAUAGUGAACCAGUACCGUGAGGGAAAGGCGAAAAGAACCCCGGCGAGGGGAGUGAAAAAGAACCUGAAACCGUGUACGUACAAGCAGUGGGAGCACGCUUAGGCGUGUGACUGCGUACCUUUUGUAUAAUGGGUCAGCGACUUAUAUUCUGUAGCAAGGUUAACCGAAUAGGGGAGCCGAAGGGAAACCGAGUCUUAACUGGGCGUUAAGUUGCAGGGUAUAGACCCGAAACCCGGUGAUCUAGCCAUGGGCAGGUUGAAGGUUGGGUAACACUAACUGGAGGACCGAACCGACUAAUGUUGAAAAAUUAGCGGAUGACUUGUGGCUGGGGGUGAAAGGCCAAUCAAACCGGGAGAUAGCUGGUUCUCCCCGAAAGCUAUUUAGGUAGCGCCUCGUGAAUUCAUCUCCGGGGGUAGAGCACUGUUUCGGCAAGGGGGUCAUCCCGACUUACCAACCCGAUGCAAACUGCGAAUACCGGAGAAUGUUAUCACGGGAGACACACGGCGGGUGCUAACGUCCGUCGUGAAGAGGGAAACAACCCAGACCGCCAGCUAAGGUCCCAAAGUCAUGGUUAAGUGGGAAACGAUGUGGGAAGGCCCAGACAGCCAGGAUGUUGGCUUAGAAGCAGCCAUCAUUUAAAGAAAGCGUAAUAGCUCACUGGUCGAGUCGGCCUGCGCGGAAGAUGUAACGGGGCUAAACCAUGCACCGAAGCUGCGGCAGCGACGCUUAUGCGUUGUUGGGUAGGGGAGCGUUCUGUAAGCCUGUGAAGGUGUGCUGUGAGGCAUGCUGGAGGUAUCAGAAGUGCGAAUGCUGACAUAAGUAACGAUAAAGCGGGUGAAAAGCCCGCUCGCCGGAAGACCAAGGGUUCCUGUCCAACGUUAAUCGGGGCAGGGUGAGUCGACCCCUAAGGCGAGGCCGAAAGGCGUAGUCGAUGGGAAACAGGUUAAUAUUCCUGUACUUGGUGUUACUGCGAAGGGGGGACGGAGAAGGCUAUGUUGGCCGGGCGACGGUUGUCCCGGUUUAAG